UGCGUAGGCGGUUGUUUAAGUUUGGUGUGAAAUCUCCCGGCUCAACCGGGAGGGUGCGCCGAAUACUGAAUGACUCGAGUGCGGGAGAGGAGAGUGGAAUUCCUGGUGUAGCGGUGAAAUGCGUAGAUAUCAGGAGGAACACCGGUGGUGUAGACGGCUCUCUGGACCGUAACUGACGCUGAGGCACGAAAGCGUGGGUAGCAAACA
This 207-nucleotide ribosomal RNA is filed under the name uncultured bacterium. RNAcentral describes it as "partial 16S ribosomal RNA". It matches the Rfam family "Bacterial small subunit ribosomal RNA", at positions 568 to 774 of the family's 1533-position model. The record is from RNAcentral.